UUUCGGGAUAAGGUACGCCCCUAGUAGGUGAAAGUGUACAACUGGAGCCGAAUGGGGUCGCAGUGAAAAGGUGGCUGCGACUGUUUAACAAAAACACAGCACUCUGCAAACACGUCAAGUGGACGUAUAGGGUGUGACGCCUGCCCGGUGCCGGAAGGUUAAGUGAUGGGGUGCAAGCUCUUGAUCGAAGCCCCGGUAAACGGCGGCCGUAACGAUAACGGUCCUAAGGUAGCGAAAUUCCUUGUCGGGUAAGUUCCGACCUGCACGAAUGGCGUAACGAUGGCCACACUGUCUCCUCCUGAGACUCAGCGAAGUUGAAGUGUUUGUGAUGAUGCAAUCUCCCCGCUGCAAGACGGAAAGACCCCGUGCACCUUUACUGCAACUUUGCAUUGGACUUUGAUGAGAUUUGUGUAGGAUAGCUGGGAGACUUUGAAGUGGGGGCGCUAGCUCUCAUGGAGUCGACGUUGAAAUACCAGCCUGAUGUUAUUGAGGUUCUAACCUGGAUCCGUAAUCCGGAUCGGGGACCGUGCAUGGUGGGCAGUUUGACUGGGGCGGUCUCCUCCCAAAGAGUAACGGAGGAGUGCGACGGUACGCUUAGCGCGGUCGGCUAUCGCGCUGUAUGUGCAAUGGCAAAAGCGUGCUUAACUGCGAGACGGACAUGUCGAGCAGGUGCGAAAGCAGGUCAUAGUGAUCCGGUGGUUCUGUAUGGAAGGGCCAUCGCUCAACGGAUAAAAGGUACGCCGGGGAUAACAGGCUGAUUCCUCCCAAGAGUUCAUAUCGACGGGGGAGUUUGGCACCUCGAUGUCGGCUCAUCACAUCCUGGGGCUGUAGCCGGUCCCAAGGGUAUGGCUGUUCGCCAUUUAAAGUGGUACGUGAGCUGGGUUCAAAACGUCGUGAGACAGUUUGGUCCCUAUCUGCAGUGGGCGUUGGAAGUUUGAGGGGGGCUGCUCCUAGUACGAGAGGACCGGAGUGGACGCAUCUCUGGUGUACCGGUUGUCACGCCAGUGGCAUCGCCGGGUAGCUAAAUGCGGAAAAGAUAAGCGCUGAAAGCAUCUAAGCGCGAAACUUGCCUCAAGAUGAGACUUCCCGGGAACUUGAUUCCCCUAAAGGGUCGCGGAAGACCACCGCGUUGAUAGGUCGGGUGUGUAAGAGCAGCAAUGCUUUGAGCUAACCGAUACUAAUUGCCCGUGAGGCUUGAUCCA
Molecule: ribosomal RNA, 1202 nt
Filed under: metagenome
Description: bacterial LSU rRNA
Rfam family: Bacterial large subunit ribosomal RNA
Source: RNAcentral